This 253-nucleotide ribosomal RNA is filed under the name uncultured bacterium. Its description in RNAcentral is "partial 16S ribosomal RNA". It matches the Rfam family "Bacterial small subunit ribosomal RNA", at positions 524 to 776 of the family's 1533-position model. The record is from RNAcentral.
UACGGAGGAUCCGAGCGUUAUCCGGAUUUAUUGGGUUUAAAGGGUGCGUAGGCGGAACGGUAAGUCAGUGGUGAAAUCCUGUUGCUUAACAACAGAACUGCCAUUGAUACUGCCGAUCUUGAGUACAUAUGAUGUGGGCGGAAUGUGUCGUGUAGCGGUGAAAUGCUUAGAUAUGACACAGAACACCGAUUGCGAAGGCAGCUCACAAAACUGUAACUGACGCUGAGGCACGAAAGCGUGGGUAUCAAACAGG